AUUAACGGUCAACGAAUCCUCAGCAGCACGAUGGCUACAAUUUGCAGUCAACAGUCAUACAGUCAUCAAUACAACUGACUCGGAUCAGCAUUCUGUUGCGACGCACCAAUUUCUCGGGUUUCGGGUUCCGUCGGAACUCUUAGGAUACCACACUGCUGGAAUCAGGCGCUGACGACAAAAGGACACCGCGCGGCGUGGACCAGCGCUCUUCGAGGUUGGAGGGGUUUCAGAAUUCCAGAUUACCUUUAUUUAGUCGUCACUGCUCUGCGCUCUUUUUGAACUGUGAAAGAGCAUUGUGUUGCCUGCACUUGCACAUUGAUGUGGAGAUGAGAUAUGAAGAUGUGUCAUGCAUAUGAAGUCGA
Molecule: small RNA, 362 nt
Filed under: Cryptococcus neoformans H99
Lineage: Eukaryota; Fungi; Basidiomycota; Tremellomycetes; Tremellales; Cryptococcaceae
Description: Cryptococcus neoformans var. grubii H99 hypothetical RNA
Source: RNAcentral